RNAcentral lists this ribosomal RNA (253 nucleotides) under uncultured bacterium. RNAcentral describes it as "partial 16S ribosomal RNA". It matches the Rfam family "Bacterial small subunit ribosomal RNA", at positions 524 to 776 of the family's 1533-position model. The record is from RNAcentral.
UACGUAGGGGGCAAGCGUUGUCCGGAUUUAUUGGGCGUAAAGAGCGUGUAGGCGGUCAGGUAGGUCGGUUGUGAAAACUGGAGGCUCAACCUUCAGAGGUCGACCGAAACCCCCUGGCUAGAGUCCGGGAGAGGAGAGUGGAAUUCCUGGUGUAGCGGUGAAAUGCGCAGAUAUCAGGAAGAACACCCGUGGCGAAAGCGGCUCUCUGGAACGGUACUGACGCUGAGACGCGAAAGCGUGGGGAGCGAACGGG